Molecule: ribosomal RNA, 37 nt
Filed under: Aspergillus niger
Lineage: Eukaryota; Fungi; Ascomycota; Eurotiomycetes; Eurotiales; Aspergillaceae
Also listed under: 61 other names
Description: partial large subunit ribosomal RNA
Source: RNAcentral
UUGACCUCGGAUCAGGUAGGGAUACCCGCUGAACUUA